AAGGUGCUGUAUUCGUAUCGCUACAACGGCAUCGAUUACACCAGUUCGCAGGCGUCCUACGACGGGCAGGUCUCAUCCACAUCGCGCUGGAUGAUGGAGCGUGUCGCGAAGAAAUAUCCCAACGGCAAGAGUGUCGAGGUUCACGUCAAUCCGGAAAAUCCGUCGCAGGCGGUGCUGGAGACGCGCACGCCCGGCAUCUGGAUUCUCUGGCUGUCUGCGAUCGCGAUCUGGGGCAUCGCGUAUUUCGUCGCGAUCAAGGGCUAGACG
Molecule: unclassified non-coding RNA, 267 nt
Filed under: Hevea brasiliensis (rubber tree)
Lineage: Eukaryota; Viridiplantae; Streptophyta; Magnoliopsida; Malpighiales; Euphorbiaceae
Source: RNAcentral